This 284-nucleotide non-coding RNA is filed under the name Hemiselmis andersenii. Lineage: Eukaryota; Cryptophyceae; Cryptomonadales; Hemiselmidaceae. The record is from RNAcentral.
AGAAGAAAAAAAGAAGAAAAAUCAAGAAAAGCCAUAAUUAGAAAAAGAAAAAUUUUUUUUGGAAAAAAGAUAAAUUCACAUUUUUUUUCUUUUUUUCUUUUUUUUUUUCUAGUAAAAUUUUACUAAAAAAAAAAAGGGAAAAAAAAAUGAAUUUAAAAAUACAUUUAUUUUACACGACAUUAAUUUUUUUUUUUUUUUUUUUUUUUAUUUCUUCCUCUUCUCUAAAAACAAAAAGAAUAAAUAACCAAAAAAUUCAAUUUUAAAUGCUACCGAAAUACAAGUGG